Long non-coding RNA from Brassica napus (rape), 896 nucleotides. RefSeq lists it as uncharacterized. The transcript is spliced from 4 exons. The record is from RefSeq and is a predicted model, not a curated record. Lineage: Eukaryota; Viridiplantae; Streptophyta; Magnoliopsida; Brassicales; Brassicaceae.
AGACCAUUAACAUCGUCAUCCCACUCGCUGCAUUAUUAAUUCGAACUCAGACUCUUCGUUACCUAACCGGCGAACUGUCUCUUCAUACACUUAGAAAAAUUUUAUGAUUUUUUGGUGAUAUUCUUUCUUUUUUUUUACAGAUUUGGUUUCGUCGAUCGAGUGCGACUCGACUUGGGUUUGUGCUUUCGGUCCGUAAAAAAACAAGAGCUAAUCGGCAGUAUUUAUUCAGGUUUGAAUUUUCCCAGAUUCCAGUCUACAAUCGUGUUUGAAUGGCUUCUGGAUUUUUAAUAUUAUUAUUGGUUUACAGUAUUGGGGAGGUGAAAUCCAAUCCCUUCGCUUCGCGCCAGGCUUAGCAACGCAAGGGGAGAAACAGGCCUGAGAACGUAGAUCUGAGAACGUUUAAGACAGUCAGAACUCAAAGCUACAUGAAGGGAUGAGUGAAAGAAAAGGCAGUGCCUCUCAAUGAUAUACGAAGGUCAAAACGGUCAGUUGACUAAAUAAGGAGAAUGUAUCCUCGAUUAAAUCGAAGCUCAUAUCAGAUGUGGUGUAUUACUGUUCAUCACCAUAAUUGAGGAAGCGACUCUUUUUCUUCAGGGAUACAGCUUCUGCAUCGAAUGAAGCAUUUUAUUAAUCAGAUGUUGGCUGAAGAACACUGGUGUAGUGAAUGUGCAAAUCAUACGAUGGCGUCACUUAAUGAAAGGAUGUAGGAAUACCAAUGGCAAGUUGACCGAGAAAUAUAAAAUCAACUGAUUCUCUAGCAGGGGAUGUCAUGAGAAUACCUUUUGUACAGAAGCAUACUUCAUAUCUUUAUACUGUUUCUGUCUUGCUCAUAUUUUAUACUAUUUUGUCUUAUAAAAUACAUUAUCUUAAAGAAUAAUAAACGAAACAUUGUCGUU